UACGUAGGGCAAGCGUUAUCCGGAAUCACUGGGCGUAAAGGGUGCGUAGGCGGCCUAGCAAGUCAGAGGUGAAAGGCAUUGGGCUCAACCAAUGUAAGCCUUUGAAACUGUUGGCUUGAGUGCAGGAGAGGUAAGUGGAAUUCCUAGUGUAGAGGUGAAAUUCGUAGAUAUUAGGAGGAACACCAGUGGCGAAGGCGACUUACUGGACUGUAACUGACGCUGAGGCACGAAAGCGUGGGGAGCGAACAGG
RNAcentral lists this ribosomal RNA (250 nucleotides) under uncultured bacterium. RNAcentral describes it as "partial 16S ribosomal RNA". It matches the Rfam family "Bacterial small subunit ribosomal RNA", at positions 524 to 776 of the family's 1533-position model. The record is from RNAcentral.